GGAAAAGUUGAGUCAGCAGAAGAUUCUUUUAAGAAAAAGAAUUACAUAUAAUAAUUAAAAAUACAAAAUCUUGAUUUGAAAACAAAAUCUUCAUGAUGUUUUAUCUUGUCCUUUUUUUUUUUUGGCCAAGCCACACGGCAUGCAGGAUCUUAGUUGCCCGACCAGGGAUCGAACCUGUGCCCCCUGCAGUGCAAGCACGGAGUCCUAACCACUGGACCACCAGGGAAGUCCCCAAAUCUUGAUUCUUGAUAAAUUGUCUAUGUGGGAUUUCAGCCAGUGAAUACAUACUCUCCUAGCCUCUUUACUCAUAAUUAUUUUUUAUAAUAUACAGAUGGAAAGAGAAGUAACUGUACUAAUAGGGAUCACCUCUGGAGACUGUGGCAAAAGGGAUUUGCACGUAGGGUUUCAGAAACCUAACUCUUUUUUUUUAAACUAAUUUUUAUUGGAGUAUAGUUGCUUUACAAUGUUGUGUUAGUUUCUGCUGUACAGCAAAGUGAAUCAGUUAUACAUUAUCAGAAACCUAACUCAUUCUGCAGAAUCGCUCCUUUACUAGAUAUGUUCAAUGUAUGUUCAAAUUUAAACAUGAGAUAAAGAGAAGAAAAGUAGCUUCUUCGGGUUGCAGGAAACAAUUUGUAAUAGUGGACAAAUUCAUGGCAUUAAUGAAAUUUAACUGCUUUUCUAAUCAUAAAUGUCAGUAGAUAAAAAGCAAGUAUUUCAAGAUAAUUCACCUAAUUGGAUGGCCUGUGUUCAAUCAGGAUAUUAAGAAUACAUUUUCACAUAUAGGACAACCAGCCUUCAGCUAAUUUAAAUUAGAAGAAAAGGUCUAUUGCUGCCCUAGGCAAGCAGUGUGCCCUGAAUUUAGAUACAGUAUCAAUCCCAGCAGGGCAUUAGAGCUGAGAACACUGAAAACAAGGUAUAAAUUGGAUAUUCGCUAUUAAAUUAAGUCUAGACAACCUGCACAUUCAUUCUUGUGUCUUUACUAUCACUUCACUAUUUUACUGCAAAAGUCCAUCUGAGACAUAAUCCAAGGAGCAAAAACUCCUAUAGCUGGGGUGGGGAGUGGGAAGUUGAGGAAGGUGGAGAGGGAGGUGUUGGUGGAUUCUCUUAAGUGUCCCUCAACUCCAGUUUGUGGAGGAAAGAGUGCUUUAGAAAUUCCAAGUAGAUAUUCAUGUUCAUGAGCCUAAGUGUGCCUCUUAUUAUUAAUUAUCAAGUUCUUACACGCACCAAACUCUGAGCUAAGUGCUAGUAAUUCAACAGUGAAUAAGACAAACAAGGUACAGGAUGGAGAAACAAUAAACAGAACACUUUCAUGAAGCGAUUAGUGCUGUGAUGGAAAGAAACAGGGUAAUAUGGUAGUAUCACUAAGAGGUUGAAAAGAAGCAUACUUCAGAUAGGAAAUUUAUACAGAUUCAGGGAGUCUUGGAUGUCUAAUCAAAAGCACAAAUAUUCAGCCAUCUAUUUUCCCCUCUUCAACUCCUAUCCUAUGAUACUAUGGCAGCAAGCUUAAAAAAUAGGUUCUUAUUGGGACUUCCCUGGUGGUGCAGUGGUUAAAGAAUCUGCCUGCCAAUGCAGGGGACAUGGGUUCGAGCCCUGGUCCGGGAAGAUCCCACAUGCUGCAGAGCAACUAAGCCCAUGCGCCACAGUUACUGAGCCUGCACUCUAGAGCCCACGAGCCACAACUACUGAGCCCGAGUGCCACAACUACUGAAGUUGUGGCGUGCCUAGUUGUGAAGCCCGCGUGCCUACAGCCGGCGCUUAGCAAUGAGAGAAGCCACCGCAAUGAGAAGCCCGCACUCCCUGCAACUAAAAAGAAAGCCCGGGUGCAGCAACAAAGACCCAACGCAGCCAACGUAUAAAUAAAUUAAUUAAUUUAAAAAAAUAGGUUCUUAUUUCCAGCAAAGGAAAAGGCAAAGCAUCAGUUACCGAUAAUCAAAAUUCAACUCUGAAUUUAAAUAACAUUCAUGCCAGACACUUUAUUACUUCAUAAUUGGGGAGCUGGACAAGCUGGUAUUAUUAAUACCAUUGCCAUAAAGGGACUAGAUUGGAGGUACAAAGAGAGACACAAUAAGAUCUUUGUCCACAAAGGUUUUAUAGCGAACAGCAAAACACACACACACACACACACACACACACACACAAAUAAUCAACAAGCGAGAGCACACACAAAAUUUCAAUGAUGGAACAAAUGGUAAGAGGACAGCAGUUUUCAGAUAAAGAAACAUAGUAGGAUGGAGAGAUCACUGGUAUCUGAGUGAUCAUAAAUUAUGAUGUUGAACCAAGCAAAUAAAGUGAAAUAAGAAUGAAAAUACUUUUGCCUGCCAAGAAAAUUGAUAGCACAUCCUCAUAAAGAGUAGAAGUCACAAAUUUUGUUCUCUUCUAAUAAGGGUCUAGAAAAUGAUUAUAUCAUAAGAAAACCAUAAAGGAUAAUUUCAUUUCAUGUUAUCAACAUGAAUCCUGACCUUUUAUUCAGUGAAUAUUGGUGGAGUGCCUUUUGGUGUAAGAGACUGAGGGACAUACAGAGAUGAACCAGACAUAGACUCUUUCCUCAUGGAGCUUCAAGGCUAAAAGCUAGAAGGGGAAACUGAACAGUCAUAAUUUUCAUUUUGGGGCAUAAGAUGAAACGCAAAAGGCCAAUUAAAAAGGCAAGAACACAGCACCAGAAACUAAAGAUUUGUACCCUUGAUUUCCCUGAUAAACUUUUAUAGUCUUCCCAUCAACAGGUUUUUUUGAAGACCCAAGGUUCCUAAUUGUUCAGGCACCUCAUUACCAAUCAGAGACACCUGCUCAGUGAAGAUCCAUAAUCAAAUCUCUUCAGACAUAUCAGUGACCCAGUAAUUCAUAUGCCCGAAUCUCAAGAAUGCCUUUCAAAGUAUGCACCUAUUUUGAAAUGUCAUCUUGUAGGAUACAUUUCACAUUGAAAUAUACUAGGAAAUAGAGCAGGAAUAGAAUCUGUUUCCUUUCAUUGCCGAUGGACAAUGGAUUUCUUUCUUCUUUUUUUUUUCUUAAAAAAAAAAACCUUUAUCAGGGGACUUCCUUGGCGGUCCACUGGUUAAGAUUCCGUGCUUCCACUGCAGGGGGCACUGGUUCGAUCCCUGGUCAGGAAACUAAGAUCCUGCAUGCCCUGCGGCAAAAACAAAACAAAACAAAAAGCCUUUAUCUUAAUUUUUUUUUUUUUUUGGCCGCGCCAUGCGGCUUGCGGGAUCUUAUUCCUUGACCAGAGAUUGAACCUGGGUCCCCUACAGUGGAAGCAAGGAGUCCUAACCAAUGGACUGCCAGAGAAUUCCCAACAAUGGAUUUCUUAUAACAGAAUCCUAGGCAAAUGUCAGUUUUCUGUUAGCUUCUCUCCUGCAGAGUAUGCCAGCCAAGACCACUUGCAAGCCCCUUUCUGCCUGUCCUGUCUCCUGAGACCACAAAGUGACUAUCGACACAUGUGGAUAGUUCAUAAUAGCUCCUUCUUCUAGCAUAGAAAACUUCUUUGAUUUUUAAGGAAACAGAAGAGAAAUGGUCUAGGAAUUGGCUAUAGAAAAAAAUCAAGUAUGAGUUUCUAUGGAAAUUUGUUCAUACGAAAUAGGUGAGAAGUUUUAUUUCUCAGGAAGGCUUUACACUAUUCAGUUUUUAGGGAACAUUUAACUUCAGCUGGGUACUUGAAGUUGGCUAUAUGCCAACUUGUUUGUAUUGCCCUGAAUACUAUUAGAUAUGGAAAAUGAAAUGGCACAUUCUACAUUGAAUGCCAUAUAGCUUGCACUUCUUUCUGCCUUCCCCUUUCCUCCAUUUAGUAAGUAUGGUGCAGUAUUUAUAAAAAUAGGUUUCAAAACUUCCUUGUAUUCAAGGGUCUAAUUCCUUCUCAGUCUACUUCUGAGGAUCAUGAAAAAGAAGUUUCCUCUGUUCCUGCCAACACUCCCCCCCAACACACGCAUUGUAAAGCUUAACUAGAGGGCCAGAUUCUUUGCAAAAUCUAGCAUCUCUAGAAAAAUGAAUAUCAAUUUAUAGACAGAAGUUAGGGAAUUAGCAAGAAGGCUAAAUUCUGAUACCCAUUCUGAGUCUUAGCACUGACCUUACUUCUAACAGGUUUAGUCUAAACUUCAAAUUCUCUUUUAUUUUCCUGGUAUUGCACAAUGAUGAAUAAGAAACAAUAAUCCAUAGGGACUAUGGAGAUUAGACCCCACAGAAAGACUACACAGAAGUGGUCAUACAUCUGCCACAUGGGCCCUCUCCUCCAGCUCAGACAGAUGUAAUCUGGAGUCUCAGAUAAUUCUUUUGGAGAAUGCCUCCAGUCUUUCCUGACUUCAAUGAUAUGGAAGAAAGUUUUUAUUCUUUUUUUUUUUUUUUUUUUUUUUGUGGUAUGCGGGCCUCUCACUGUUGUGGCCUCUCCCGUUGCGGAGCAAUAGGCUCAGCGGCCAUGGCUCACGGGCCCAGCCGCUCUGCGGCAUGUGGGAUCCUUCCAGACCGGGGCACAAACCCGUGUCCCCUGCAUCAGCAGGCGGACUCCCAACCACUGCGCCACCAGGGAAGCCCAGAAAGUUUUUAUUCUUAAAAUGAUUAGGGUCGGGACUUCCCUGGUGACACAGUGGAUAAGACUCUGUGCUCCCGAUGCACGGGGCUCGGGUUCGAUCCCUGGUCAGGGAACUGGAUCCCACAUGCAUGCCACAACUAAGAGUUCGCAUGCCACAGCUAAGGAGCAGGCGAGCCACAACUAAGGAGCCCAUGUGCUGCAACUAAGGAGCCUGCCUGACGCAACUAGGACCUGGCCGAACCAAAUAAAUAUUUAAAAAAAAUGAUUAGGGUCAUGUUCCUUUUUUGAUUUGUAAAAACAUUAAACAAAGGGAAAUCUAUCUAGUCACUCUUCUGCUUUCUGUAGUCAUUAUUUAUGAUUGAUGACACAAGCUUUUGGCAAGCACAGAUAGGGGAAAUUCAAGGUCAAAGAUAAUAUACUACCAUAAACAGGGACUCAUGCUUAUGGGCUAUGUUCAUGUGAUCAAGUUUCACUGGACUAAUCCUGCCUUUUUAUGACCUGUAUGGGGCCAGCAGAUAUUCUGAGAUAUGGCUCUGGCUUUGUUUCAAGUGCCUCUAUAGGUGAACUUUGAAAUUCUCCUAUGGCUUUAUGAAUUCUGCACUUAUGUUGUUCUUUGGGGGAGGGAGGUGGUAAAGGAGAUGCAGGAAUAAAGGGGAGACUUUGAUAUAAUGCAAUAACAAAUAGGGCUUAGGUGCCUCUCCAUAACUUGGCAUUCCAGGCCAAUACACUGGAGUUGUUUAGAAAAAAAUGUAGUAGUUCCCAGGGAAGGGAAAUACAAUUUGAUGAAUAUAUAUGGGGAAGACCCUUCCCGUUGAUGGCUAUGAUGUUGUUCCACUCAUCCUCUAGGCCCUGGCCUCAUAUUCUUACUCCAAAUUGACUGGCAGAAAAGUGGUCAUAAUUGUUCGAAUAUAACCACACCAUGCUUUGGAUAUUUUAGCUGCCUUUCCUUGGCUUGUGUCCCUCUUGAGGUGCAGUAAUCAUAAGGAUACUUACACCAGUUUCAUUUCCAAAAAGUAUCAGGCUGAGUAAAUCAUAGGUUUACACAGGUUCUAGCCAGAACUGGCAAAAACUUUUGACUCCCAAAGUUCUGCCGUAUCAGUGUACUAAAAACAGUUCAGUAAAAUGAGGCAGUAGAGGUAGUGAGAAGAUAAGUCAGGCCAAUAAGAAAAGAGGAAAUGGAAAAGACCUUAAAAAUCACACACACAGAGUUCUCCCCAGACUAAAUGUGGCAGGUGAUAGGAGUUGAUAGGGCACUUGCUACAAUUGCAGGUUUAUAAAGACAGAACUCUGGAGAAUAACUGCCAAAACCCCACCACCAUCACUACCACUACCAUCAAAAAAAGUAAAAAAGAAAGAAAGAAAACUUAGAUUUUAUCCUUUUAAAACUCCUUCAAUAAAACUAAGGCUACCAUUUUCUCUUCUAACUUUGUGCCUUUGUUGAUAAUAAAAAUAAUUCCAAGGGAUCAUCUACAACAACAACAAAUUCUCACUUGCUUUUCUUUGUGUCAGUGGUUGGGUUGAGAUGAGAAAGAUGUUGAUAGACCUGGCAGAGAAUUAAUUUAGUGAUUACUUGCAGAUUUCAAUAUUAUUUUCUCUUUCUUCACCAUAUACCAAAGUGAGCUCUACUGUAAGCAGAUAGUGUAGGGAGUCCCCAGAGAAAAGAGCCAGAUAUAGCUUUUUGAUAUAAGAGAAGCCAUUUUAGGCCAAAGCCAUCUUGUCAUCUAAGCCUGGCUACCAUGCUUGCCCUUGAAAAGGUCUCAGUAAUAAUGACCUUAAGGGAACAUAAGAACAAAUGACUGUUUAUCAGGCAAGAGCAGUAACAAUAGCAAAGAUAAUAAACCAGUUGCAGGAUUCCUUGAAAGCACUUUUUGUGGAAAGAAACCAACCUAUGCACAGUCUACAUAUUCAAAUAAUAAGCAGAGUCUAUGUGGCUGUAUUACUCAUACAUCAGACUAAUGGGAUGCAUCAAAAGUAACCAACUUCCAGAGACACAAAGGGGAAAACGACUUCAAACACUUACACUUAAAACUUAAAGGGCCUUCAUUUAUGAAUGGCCAAUGAUCUAGGCAAGUAAGAAAUGCUCCAUGGACUGACAAGUUUUUAGAAGAAUAAAAGAGCAGCUAUAAAUUAGUGAGAGUAGCUCUUUUACAUAGAAGUUCUUGGCUAAGAAUACCUAUUUUAGUAAAAAAAGACGAUAACUCAGGAGCUGCCCUGAGAAUCUCUUUCUAACUAUCCACAGAAAAGACAGAAAGCAAACCUGUGAUUCGAUUCUAAUCAGAAUAAGACGAAGAAAGGCUUUGCUUCCGGAUACUGGUUCAAGGUCACCCCCUUCUACCGUAAAUUUUAUCUUUCCCUAUGUCCACUCCACCUUAUUAAGCUGCUCAGGCUGAGCAAAGGAGAUGAGAAGCCUGUUUGUCUUGGAGGAACUGAUUACAUGGAGAAUUAUAUGUAUAAUAAUGGAGGGCUAUCAUUUUUAAGAGAAAGCAUGCUAAGGACAAACUCAAUUUUUUAAAUACCCACUUUCCAAUCUCUAAAUCAUCUAUGCCUUCCAGGCAAACAUGAAUGGACCAAGCUACUACAAUAUAAGAAACAGGAGGAUUGGUUCAAGAUGGCGGAGUAGAAAGACGUCACUCCCUCUUGUGAGAGCACUGGAAUCACAACUAACUGCUGAACAAUCAUCGACUGGAAGACACUGGAACUCACCAAAAAAGAUACCUCACAUCCAAAGACAAAAGAGAAGCCACAAUGAGAUGGUUUUUCUGCUGAGCUACCACAAUGUAGUGUGUUUCUAGACCUAACUCCACAUGAAGGACAGGCCUGGAUUAAACAAGAAUGGCUACUUAUUUUACAGCUGGAAAACUGAGCAUGUCUGGUGAGGAAGGCAAAAAGAAGAAUCAACAGCAGAGGCAAACUGGAACAAGGAGAGGAACGGACUUAAGAAUCAGAGACUCUUAAGAGUAUGGUAUAAAUUGUUACCUUUAGAGAAGUCAUUUAAUUUUAUUCACAUUCAGUCUAGAACAUUUAUUUUUCUCAAUUCAAAAUUGAGAUUAUAAUCAAAAGGAAAACUGGACUGAGGUCACUUAAAAUAAAAAAUUCUAUUUCCUACUGGGCUAAGUACAAACUUGUUAGCUUGGCCUUCAAGGUAUUUGACAAAUAUGGCCCUGGUCUCCUUUUCAACUUUAAUCCACUAUUUCCCUAUGUAUACUGUUUAAGAUAACAGUAAACUAUUAGCAAACUAUUGCACAGAACUCUCUUAACCAGUUUAACUGAUCACACAUUAGCUAGGCUAUUCUCCAGUAUCAUGGGAGCAACACUUCUGCUCUCCCUCUCAGUGAAAUUAUGUGCUUAUUGAGGGUAUCAGUUGUGUUUAUUCACAAAACAAUUUAUGCCAAUUGUGUUUAUUAUUCUAAAUAUAUAACUUAAUAAAGUAUUACAUAAAGCAAUGAAGUAUAAAUGAGAAGAGGAAAACAACAGCAGCAGCUAAUAUUAACUGAGUACUUACUACCUGCCAGGCACUGUUCUAAGUGUUUUAUGUGAAUUAACUCAUAUAAUCUUCAUAAGAACCUUGGGAACUAGAUACUAUUAUUGUCCCUAUUUCACAAAGGAGGAGACUGAACAACAUGCCCAAGGUCUAUACAACUCAAAAUUGGCAAAACAAUUUGGCUCCAGAGCUUUAACUACAAUGCUAUACAAGUUGAAAGCUUAGGAAAGACUAGAUAAAGAUACACAUAACUAUGCUCCACUCGACCUUGUAUGUGAAAGUAGCCACAGAUAAUACAUGAACAAGUGAGCAAGGCUGUGUUCCAAUAAAACUUUAUUUACAGAAACAGGCAGCAGGCUAGGACAAGAUUUAGCCCUCACACUGUAGUUUGGAGAUCCCUGAGACCCACACUCCAAGAAAAGGCUUAUGUCAAAAGAAUGGCAAAAAGAUGUUUUAAGUUUUAAGUUAAAAUAAAAUGUUUAAGAUCUACAGGUAA
This is a long non-coding RNA of Orcinus orca (killer whale), 8490 nucleotides long. RefSeq lists it as uncharacterized. The record is from RefSeq and is a predicted model, not a curated record. The transcript is spliced from 3 exons. Lineage: Eukaryota; Metazoa; Chordata; Mammalia; Artiodactyla; Delphinidae.